UACAGAGGUGUCGAGCGUUGUUCGGAAUUACUGGGCGUAAAGGGUGCGUAGGCGGUCGCGUGUGUCGGAUGUGAAAUCUUGCCGCUCAACGGCGAAACGGCAUCCGAAACUACGUGACUCGAGGACAGGAGAGGAAGGCGGAAUUCUCGGUGUAGCGGUGAAAUGCGUAGAUAUCGAGAGGAACACCGGUGGCGAAGGCGGCCUUCUGGACUGUUUCUGACGCUGAGGCACGAAGGCUGGGGGAGCAAACAGG
This 253-nucleotide ribosomal RNA is filed under the name uncultured bacterium. RNAcentral's name for it is "partial 16S ribosomal RNA". It matches the Rfam family "Bacterial small subunit ribosomal RNA", at positions 524 to 776 of the family's 1533-position model. The record is from RNAcentral.